Long non-coding RNA from Anthonomus grandis grandis, 448 nucleotides. RefSeq lists it as uncharacterized. Lineage: Eukaryota; Metazoa; Arthropoda; Insecta; Coleoptera; Curculionidae. The record is from RefSeq and is a predicted model, not a curated record. The transcript has 2 exons.
AAUUUUAAAAUAAAUAGGUAUGCAAUAUAUUUUCGUUUGACUUUUAACAAAACAGUUGAGUACUAUAUGUUGACGAAUAUACACAUCUAAAAUACUAUCCAAUACAUCUAAACAUUCAAAAUGAAUUGCUGUGGAGCACUCUUUUGGGCCGUUAUUCUGUGUACAGUAGCUUUUCCUAUAGCUUUACUAUGUGCAAUUGUUUAUAUCAUAUUGCAUACGUUUAGCGGCAUUUGUCCAGGAUGUGAGGGUUGUUCAGAGACUUUCCUUAAAGGUGUUCAACUACCUGGUACUGCAGUUAGGAAAAUUGUGCAUUGUGAAUGUUAGCUAUUUAAGUAUAUGUACUAAGGAAAGGUAUUAUGUACAUUAGAGUUUAAGAUUUGAAUAUAAUGUUAAACAGGUUAUUUUAAAUUUAAUGAAUUAGAAAUAUAAAGACUGACAACUACCAAAA